GCUUGCACCUGGUGGCGAGUGGCGAACGGGUGAGUAAUACAUCGGAACAUGUCCUGUAGUGGGGGAUAGCCCGGCGAAAGCCGGAUUAAUACCGCAUACGAUCUACGGAUGAAAGCGGGGGACCUUCGGGCCUCGCGCUAUAGGGUUGGCCGAUGGCUGAUUAGCUAGUUGGUGGGGUAAAGGCCUACCAAGGCGACGAUCAGUAGCUGGUCUGAGAGGACGACCAGCCACACUGGGACUGAGACACGGCCCAGACUCCUACGGGAGGCAGCAGUGGGGAAUUUUGGACAAUGGGCGAAAGCCUGAUCCAGCAAUGCCGCGUGUGUGAAGAAGGCCUUCGGGUUGUAAAGCACUUUUGUCCGGAAAGAAAUCCUUGGCUCUAAUACAGUCGGGGGAUGACGGUACCGGAAGAAUAAGCACCGGCUAACUACGUGCCAGCAGCCGCGGUAAUACGUAGGGUGCGAGCGUUAAUCGGAAUUACUGGGCGUAAAGCGUGCGCAGGCGGUUUGCUAAGACCGAUGUGAAAUCCCCGGGCUCAACCUGGGAACUGCAUUGGUGACUGGCAGGCUAGAGUAUGGCAGAGGGGGGUAGAAUUCCACGUGUAGCAGUGAAAUGCGUAGAGAUGUGGAGGAAUACCGAUGGCGAAGCAGCCCCCUGGGCCAAUACUGACGCUCAUGCACGAAAGCGUGGGGAGCAAACA
RNAcentral lists this ribosomal RNA (700 nucleotides) under Bacillota bacterium. RNAcentral's name for it is "bacterial SSU rRNA". It matches the Rfam family "Bacterial small subunit ribosomal RNA", at positions 78 to 774 of the family's 1533-position model. The record is from RNAcentral. Lineage: Bacteria; Bacillati; Bacillota.